GGGCGAUUAGUUCAGUGGUAGAAUGCUUCCUCGACACGGAAGAGGUCGCUGGUUCGAUCCCAGCAUCGCCCA
RNAcentral lists this transfer RNA (72 nucleotides) under Candidatus Colwelliibacteriota bacterium. RNAcentral describes it as "tRNA-Val". It matches the Rfam family "tRNA". From Rfam's summary of the family: Transfer RNA (tRNA) molecules are approximately 80 nucleotides in length. Lineage: Bacteria; Candidatus Colwelliibacteriota. The record is from RNAcentral.